Molecule: long non-coding RNA, 730 nt
Filed under: Monodelphis domestica (gray short-tailed opossum)
Lineage: Eukaryota; Metazoa; Chordata; Mammalia; Didelphimorphia; Didelphidae
Description: lncRNA (ENSMODG00000042720.1)
Source: RNAcentral
ACAUGAGUGAAGAGAAUACAUGUGGUCAGGAUAACUCAGUACUCUGGAACUAUCAAAUUUAUUCUUUCUGAUUCAAGAGCUGUCCAUGAAAAUUUUCCUUGAUGAACAUAAUUUCUUUGUUCAACGGAUACUGCUGUGGUCAAAUUGAUUUGAUCAACAUUGUGUUUGAUUCAGAUCUCACUGGGUGCAAUGUCUCAGCCAAGAUAAUUGAUCUGCUGGGUGACUUCUCUGAUUCUCUGCUUCCAAGUGGUUCUACUCAGGUGAAGGUAGAGAAGCAUUCUGGAAUACUUGCACCUGUGUUUGGCAGUCAGUUCAGCACUGAUGACCAGAAUAGCAAGGACCUAGCUUGGUGUUUCAUACUUGGGAUCAUAACCGGGCACUUCAAAACAAAGCAAAGAUCCAGGACAACUCUAAGGGACUCAUGAUGAAGAAGGAUCUAUACCACCAUAGAAGGAGCACAUGGAAUUUAAAUGCAGAUUGAAAUAUACCAUUCUUCAUUUUAUUUCCUCCAUGAAUUUUUCUCUAGCAUAGGCAAUAUGUGUCUUCUUUUACAACAUGACUAACUGGAAAACAUGUAUAUGAUAACAUAUGUACAAUCUGCAUUGUACUAUCUACCUUCUUGAGGAGAAGGGAGGGGUGAAAGGAAGAGUAAAUGUGGAUUGCAAAAUGUUAGAAAAUGAAUAUUAAAAAAUAUGUAAUGUGGAAAGAAAAUUAAAAAAAAAAGCUCUCA